UUAUUUGAGAGUUUGAUCCUGGCUCAGGAUGAACGCUGGCGGCGUGCCUAACACAUGCAAGUUGAGCGAUUUACUUCGGUAAAGAGCGGCGGACGGGUGAGUAACGCGUGGGUAACCUACCCUGUACACACGGAUAACAUACCGAAAGGUAUGCUAAUACGGGAUAACAUAUUUGAGAGGCAUCUCUUGAAUAUCAAAGGUGAGCCAGUACAGGAUGGACCCGCGUCUGAUUAGCUAGUUGGUAAGGUAACGGCUUACCAAGGCGACGAUCAGUAGCCGACCUGAGAGGGUGAUCGGCCACAUUGGAACUGAGACACGGUCCAAACUCCUACGGGAGGCAGCAGUGGGGAAUAUUGCACAAUGGGCGAAAGCCUGAUGCAGCAACGCCGCGUGAGUGAUGAAGGCCUUCGGGUCGUAAAACUCUGUCCUCAAGGAAGAUAAUGACGGUACUUGAGGAGGAAGCCCCGGCUAACUACGUGCCAGCAGCCGCGGUAAUACGUAGGGGGCUAGCGUUAUCCGGAUUUACUGGGCGUAAAGGGUGCGUAGGCGGUCUUUCAAGUCAGGAGUGAAAGGCUACGGCUCAACCGUAGUAAGCUCUUGAAACUGGGAGACUUGAGUGCAGGAGAGGAGAGUGGAAUUCCUAGUGUAGCGGUGAAAUGCGUAGAUAUUAGGAGGAACACCAGUUGCGAAGGCGGCUCUCUGGACUGUAACUGACGCUGAGGCACGAAAGCGUGGGGAGCAAACAGGAUUAGAUACCCUGGUAGUCCACGCUGUAAACGAUGAGUACUAGGUGUCGGGGGUUACCCCC
Molecule: ribosomal RNA, 808 nt
Filed under: Clostridioides difficile
Lineage: Bacteria; Bacillati; Bacillota; Clostridia; Peptostreptococcales; Peptostreptococcaceae
Description: bacterial SSU rRNA
Rfam family: Bacterial small subunit ribosomal RNA
Source: RNAcentral